GGAUGGGCAUGCGUGACAUUAGCUUGUUGGCGGGGUAACGGCCCACCAAGGCGACGAUGUCUAGGGGUUCUGAGAGGAAGGUCCCCCACACUGGUACUGAGACACGGACCAGACUCCUACGGGAGGCAGCAGUGAGGAAUAUUGGUCAAUGGGCGAGAGCCUGAACCAGCCAAGUCGCGUGAAGGAUGACGGCCCUACGGGUUGUAAACUUCUUUUGUCAGGGAGCAAUUGGGUCCACGCGUGGGCUUAGCGAGAGUACCUGAAGAAAAAGCAUCGGCUAACUCCGUGCCAGCAGCCGCGGUAAUACGGAGGAUGCGAGCGUUAUCCGGAUUUAUUGGGUUUAAAGGGUGCGUAGGCGGAAUAUCAAGUCAGCGGUAAAAAUUCGGGGCUCAACCCCGUCGUGCCGUUGAAACUGAUGUUCUUGAGUGGGCGAGAAGUAUGCGGAAUGCGUGGUGUAGCGGUGAAAUGCAUAGAUAUCACGCAGAACUCCGAUUGCGAAGGCAGCAUACCGGCGCCCAACUGACGCUGAAGCACGAAAGCGUGGGUAUCGAACAGGAUUAGAUACCCUGGUAGUCCACGCAGUAAACGAUGAAUGCUAAUUGUCCGGAGGGAUUGACCUCUGGGUGAU
This 628-nucleotide ribosomal RNA is filed under the name uncultured bacterium. Its description in RNAcentral is "bacterial SSU rRNA". It matches the Rfam family "Bacterial small subunit ribosomal RNA", at positions 223 to 847 of the family's 1533-position model. The record is from RNAcentral.